GCCUCGGUAGCUCAAUGGUAGAGCAGCUGACUCUUAAUCAGCGGGUUGUAGGUUCGAGUCCUACCCGGGGUACCA
RNAcentral lists this transfer RNA (75 nucleotides) under Planctomycetota bacterium. Its description in RNAcentral is "tRNA-Lys". It matches the Rfam family "tRNA". From Rfam's summary of the family: Transfer RNA (tRNA) molecules are approximately 80 nucleotides in length. Their secondary structure includes four short double-helical elements and three loops (D, anti-codon, and T loops). Lineage: Bacteria; Pseudomonadati; Planctomycetota. The record is from RNAcentral.